GAGCGCCCGAGCUGAGCCACCUUCGGCGACCCCGAGCGCCGCAGCGCAACUCACCGCGGAGGCGCCCGGACGCGUCAAGAUUCCAGAACACUGGAUGAGGCGCUCAGACCCUUCCGGCUCCCACGGCGGCUCUUGAAGGGCUUGGCCGGUGGGUGUGCGGUGGGCACAGCCCCUGCCUUUCUCCUGGUGAGCAGCUCCCAGUGACCAGAGACGUUCCCGCUGAGACUUCCCGUGGGCACAGCUUGGGCCACUCUGCCGGCCUCCUAAAGCUUCUGGGUGAGAUGCGCCAGCCUGUGCACCUGGCCAAGAGUGUCACAGACCUUUGAGCGUGUCCUGGCUGAGCCCUGGCUCAGCCUCAUGGUGACCUGGGUCACAGCCCUCCUUGGCCACUGACCCUCGGUCUCCCCUUCCUUUGGCCUCUUGGUGCUCUGGGAAUUCCCAGGUGCUGAUGUGCCUGUGAGCCUCCACUCAUGUUCCCUCCUGGCGGCCCUCACCCUCCCUCCUCCCCCACUGCCUUCUCCGCCGCUGCCCGCACCCAGACUGCCCCGCCACCCAGCGGGGGCCCAGGCUGACUCUGCCCUCCCGCGCCCUCCUUCCCUCAUCCUUCCCCCUUCGCUGUGGCCUCCGCGGGGGUGUGUUUCUGUAGCUGCUGCUGCUUAGGCCUUGCUCCUCCCAGGCUGGCCCAGCUGGGACCCUUGGCAGUGACCUGAUCCCAAGACCCAGGAGAAGCCCAA
Long non-coding RNA from Suricata suricatta (meerkat), 734 nucleotides. RefSeq lists it as uncharacterized. The record is from RefSeq and is a predicted model, not a curated record. The transcript has 3 exons. Lineage: Eukaryota; Metazoa; Chordata; Mammalia; Carnivora; Herpestidae.